Molecule: long non-coding RNA, 254 nt
Filed under: Gallus gallus (chicken)
Lineage: Eukaryota; Metazoa; Chordata; Aves; Galliformes; Phasianidae
Source: RNAcentral
CUGUUGGAAGAGAGAUGACAUUCCCAUUCAUAUCCUUUUAACUGUUAGUGAUUCUAUUUGUAUCAAGCUUAAUAAUGUUUUUCUGCUCUUGUUUAACCUCUCUAGUGGACUGAAAACUUAUCAUCAAUUCCGCGUUUCUCUAUGAUAUGAAAAACAGUGUUUGAUCAAUUUACCUUCUCUUUGAUAAGAUGUGCAAAAUAGAUGCUCUGCAUGCAGUAAAAGCAGAACUAUCAAAAUCCACCCAGAGAAAUCCC